Molecule: long non-coding RNA, 1866 nt
Organism: Oryctolagus cuniculus (rabbit)
Lineage: Eukaryota; Metazoa; Chordata; Mammalia; Lagomorpha; Leporidae
Source: Ensembl
AUGAGAAGACCGCUACGUGAGCGAUCCGGUUCAAAGUCACCUUUGCAGGGGGGAUCAAAAAGAAACCCUGUCUGCUGCGCAGCCCACCAUUCCUCUACGUGGCACAGCUUCUCUCCAGCUACUUCUUGGAGUUCGAUGUGUCACCUGGUGGCAGCAGGGAGCGUCUGUUUUACACCUGUUUUCAUCCUGCCUGGAUUCCGGAUAGGGCUCAUUUGUCACAACUGUGAUCUCCUGCGGGAGGCCCUUUCUCCAGGUGGAACGAGACUCCUUCUUCGCUAUGUCCUGUUCUGGUUGCUGCUGGUACGUGACUCCAGUCUCCUCCGGGAUACCCUCGCUGGGAAGACCUCCCUGUGCCCCCUUGUCAAGAGGCGACCCAAGUUCCACCUUUACCCUGAAGCCUGGUGAGGGGGUUGGAGCACCUGCUCAUCCCAGCGUUUUGUACCCUCUGUUCAACAAGGCAUAAGAACGCAGUUCCCUGUUCACAAUGCUCGUGUGUUUCCAUUAAUCAAUAUGGUUGGUGAGAAAGUUAACAGCCACCAAUACUAAAGCAAACGGAGAGACCACACAUCUGGGAGCUGCAGCAGGCUUCCUGAAGACACAAGCCUGCUCACAGGCCGACCGCCGGGCAGCGUGUGCAGAACGGCGGGGAUGGAGCUGUCCAAGGAGACGCUGGCUUUACAAACAAGCUUGGUGUAUGAAGGAAAACAGCAGAUGUUUGCCUAUGUCUAAUUGGCUUGACCUGUGACAUGUUCGUCACGGUGACAAACGUGCCAUCCCUGGUGACAAGGAAGGCUGGAGAAACCAGGAUGUUCCGCCGAGAAACCUCUUAACUGGGCUCAGAUGUGGGCCGUGCUUCUGUAUGCGGAAUGCCGGUGUCCUCCCAGAAAGCACACUGUAGACCUGCGUUCAGACGCUGGAGUCCCACAGUCUGGGACGAUUCAGAUUUCACCAAAUACCCAAGGAUGUAAACAUUCCUUAAUUUCCCGUCAUCCCGUAGCCAAAUACUGGGCAGACAACUUUAAAUGGUUAGGUGAGUUGUUGUUUUCAAGUGGGGGGAGGUGAUGUAAGGCUCCGGGUUUGGAGGUGGGGGAGGCGUGUCCCCACAUACCCACCAGAGAAGAGAGGAAGCUGGGACUGAUGUCGUGGUGUCCAUCAUCUCCGUGUCUUGCUAGGAGGGGUGCGAUGUGAAGAGCGGGGGAUCCAAGGGGAGGCUGUGGACUCAGUCCACGCCCACAAAGAGCUGACAGUGUGGCGGAGAAGGUGUCGGGGACCUGCCCUUCUGAGAGCAGUGACUUCACAAAGCCGGGGUGCUAGAACGCAGACAGGGCGUGUCAGCAGAGCGGUGCCCUCCAAGUCCUCAGAACCAGUCCCAGAGCCUUUGAAUGCCACAGCGUCCGGACCGAACCCCAGACCCACUGAAACAGGAUGUCUGGUGGAGGACACAGAGCGCAGAAACGUUGAGUGUGAUUUCAAGGCACGGCCAAGUUGGACAACGGUGGCAAGGGUCAGAGGGCAUCUGGCCCUGCUAUCCGAUGGUAACCAAAUGGGUAGUUUAUAAAUGAGGGCUGAGGAGAAAGGUGCUUCCCCUUCGUCUAAACUUAGAGUGGGCGCACAGGGGCAAGACACAUGAGUCUGCUGCUUACGCCUGGCCUGGGUGCCAUGGUGCCCGCUGAGUGGGGGUCGUGGGCAGUGGGUUGGUGGAAUUUGGGGAGCAUAAUUCAUGCCACCUGACACUGACACUUCCUGUUCUUAGGUAUAACUUUGUGUCCCCCCUCCACCACCGUGUUCUGAAGCUUGAUAAAUUAGGAAGAAAUAUAGCCUCCAUUUCAAAAUAAAUUUUUUUUGGAUCAAAGGAGGGUGUUUUUC